This 415-nucleotide ribosomal RNA is filed under the name Acanthamoeba sp. Its description in RNAcentral is "SSU rRNA". It matches the Rfam family "Eukaryotic small subunit ribosomal RNA", at positions 762 to 1116 of the family's 1831-position model. RNAcentral also lists the same sequence under 1 other name. The record is from RNAcentral. Lineage: Eukaryota; Discosea; Longamoebia; Acanthamoebidae.
AAAAUUAGAGUGUUCAAAGCAGGCAGAUCCAAUUUUCUGCCACCGAAUACAUUAGCAUGGGAUAAUGGAAUAGGACCCUGUCCUCCUAUUUUCAGUUGGUUUUGGCAGCGCGAGGACUAGGGUAAUGAUUAAUAGGGAUAGUUGGGGGCAUUAAUAUUUAAUUGUCAGAGGUGAAAUUCUUGGAUUUAUGAAAGAUUAACUUCUGCGAAAGCAUCUGCCAAGGAUGUUUUCAUUAAUCAAGAACGAAAGUUAGGGGAUCGAAGACGAUCAGAUACCGUCGUAGUCUUAACCAUAAACGAUGCCGACCAGCGAUUAGGAGACGUUGAAUACAAAACACCACCAUCGGCGCGGUCGUCCUUGGCGUCGGUCUUUCGGGGCCGGCGCGGGGGCGGCUUAGCCCGGUGGCACCGGUGAA